RNAcentral lists this ribosomal RNA (465 nucleotides) under Vreelandella stevensii. RNAcentral describes it as "partial 16S ribosomal RNA". It matches the Rfam family "Bacterial small subunit ribosomal RNA", at positions 338 to 795 of the family's 1533-position model. The record is from RNAcentral. Lineage: Bacteria; Pseudomonadati; Pseudomonadota; Gammaproteobacteria; Oceanospirillales; Halomonadaceae.
CCUACGGGUGGCAGCAGUGGGGAAUAUUGGAAAAUGGGGGCAACCCUGAUCCAGCCAUGCCGCGUGUGUGAAGAAGGCCCUCGGGUUGUAAAGCACUUUCAGUGAGGAAGAACGCCUGGUGGUUAAUACCCAUCAGGAAAGACAUCACUCACAGAAGAAGCACCGGCUAACUCCGUGCCAGCAGCCGCGGUAAUACGGAGGGUGCGAGCGUUAAUCGGAAUUACUGGGCGUAAAGCGCGCGUAGGUGGCUUGAUAAGCCGGUUGUGAAAGCCCCGGGCUCAACCUGGGAACGGCAUCCGGAACUGUCAAGCUAGAGUGCAGGAGAGGAAGGUAGAAUUCCCGGUGUAGCGGUGAAAUGCGUAGAGAUCGGGAGGAAUACCAGUGGCGAAGGCGGCCUUCUGGACUGACACUGACACUGAGGUGCGAAAGCGUGGGUAGCAAACAGGAUUAGAUACCCUAGUAGUC